UGAGGAAUAUUGGUCAAUGGUCGCAAGACUGAACCAGCCAUGCCGCGUGCAGGAAGACGGUCCUAUGGAUUGUAAACUGCUUUUAUACAGGAAGAAACCCUCCCACGUGUGGGAGCUUGACGGUACUGUAGGAAUAAGGAUCGGCUAACUCCGUGCCAGCAGCCGCGGUAAUACGGAGGAUCCAAGCGUUAUCCGGAAUCAUUGGGUUUAAAGGGUCCGUAGGCGGUCUUAUAAGUCAGUGGUGAAAGCCCAUCGCUCAACGAUGGAACUGCCAUUGAUACUGUAAGACUUGAAUGCUUAGGAAGUAACUAGAAUAUGUAGUGUAGCGGUGAAAUGCUUAGAUAUUACAUGGAAUACCAAUUGCGAAGGCAGGUUACUACUAAGUGAUUGACGCUGAUGGACGAAAGCGUGGGGAGCGAACAGGAUUAGAUACCCUGGUAGUCCACGCCGUAAACGAUGGAUACUAGCUGUUCGGCGCAAGUUGAGUGGCUAAGCGAAAGUGAUAAGUAUCCCACCUGGGGAGUACGCACGCAAGUGUGAAACUCAAAGGAAUUGACGGGGUCAUAGCUGUUUCC
This 575-nucleotide ribosomal RNA is filed under the name uncultured bacterium. Its description in RNAcentral is "partial 16S ribosomal RNA". It matches the Rfam family "Bacterial small subunit ribosomal RNA", at positions 355 to 937 of the family's 1533-position model. The record is from RNAcentral.